This 705-nucleotide ribosomal RNA is filed under the name Staphylococcus sp. RNAcentral's name for it is "bacterial SSU rRNA". It matches the Rfam family "Bacterial small subunit ribosomal RNA", at positions 52 to 735 of the family's 1533-position model. The record is from RNAcentral. Lineage: Bacteria; Bacillati; Bacillota; Bacilli; Caryophanales; Staphylococcaceae.
UACAUGCAAGUCGAGCGAACAGACGAGGAGCUUGCUCCUCUGACGUUAGCGGCGGACGGGUGAGUAACACGUGGAUAACCUACCUAUAAGACUGGGAUAACUUCGGGAAACCGGAGCUAAUACCGGAUAAUAUAUUGAACCGCAUGGUUCAAUAGUGAAAGACGGUUUUGCUGUCACUUAUAGAUGGAUCCGCGCCGCAUUAGCUAGUUGGUAAGGUAACGGCUUACCAAGGCAACGAUGCGUAGCCGACCUGAGAGGGUGAUCGGCCACACUGGAACUGAGACACGGUCCAGACUCCUACGGGAGGCAGCAGUAGGGAAUCUUCCGCAAUGGGCGAAAGCCUGACGGAGCAACGCCGCGUGAGUGAUGAAGGUCUUCGGAUCGUAAAACUCUGUUAUUAGGGAAGAACAAAUGUGUAAGUAACUAUGCACGUCUUGACGGUACCUAAUCAGAAAGCCACGGCUAACUACGUGCCAGCAGCCGCGGUAAUACGUAGGUGGCAAGCGUUAUCCGGAAUUAUUGGGCGUAAAGCGCGCGUAGGCGGUUUUUUAAGUCUGAUGUGAAAGCCCACGGCUCAACCGUGGAGGGUCAUUGGAAACUGGAAAACUUGAGUGCAGAAGAGGAAAGUGGAAUUCCAUGUGUAGCGGUGAAAUGCGCAGAGAUAUGGAGGAACACCAGUGGGGGUAUGGGAGGGGUUUUUAAAAA